UCCGAAUGUUGGAUCCCAUCGCUAGAUGGUUACAUCAAUUGGUAUAGAAAAUAAUUUUUAUGCUAUCAAUUUAGGUUUGAACCUAUGGGAUUAUACAUAUUGAAAGAUACGGAUGGAUCUUAUGGCUGAAGAGUCCAUUUGGAUUGUGACUCUAAUGAGGAGUACCACUGGAACUAGGAUUUUGAAGGAGAGUGCCACUGGAUUGAGAUGCUACUAUUAAUA
RNAcentral lists this long non-coding RNA (222 nucleotides) under Elaeis guineensis (African oil palm). Its description in RNAcentral is "long non-coding RNA (EGUI_LNC057825)". Lineage: Eukaryota; Viridiplantae; Streptophyta; Magnoliopsida; Arecales; Arecaceae. The record is from RNAcentral.